GAUUCUUCAAAACUUAUAUAUAUACACCAUUUCUACAUAAAUUGGAGUAAAUUGCUUGCUUCUAAAUGAAAAACUAAAAACAAGGAUAAAUACGCAUCUAAGAUGGAUUUUCCAAUUUUCUUAAGGUUUCCUUUUGUAACACACAUUCAUUAGUACGGAAUAUGAUGAACUAAAUAACUGAUUGUCAUAGCUGCUUUCUGGUAUUUGUUCUUGUAACCUAAUCCAUGAUUUAGGUGUCUUUACUGAGGCUACUAAUUGAUGCAUUAUCCAAGAGAGUGCUUUUUCUUUUUCCUUUUUUACCUUGACUAGUUUAGAUACUGUUGUGGGGAUGAUUGCACAAGGGGGGGCCC
RNAcentral lists this unclassified non-coding RNA (350 nucleotides) under Hevea brasiliensis (rubber tree). Lineage: Eukaryota; Viridiplantae; Streptophyta; Magnoliopsida; Malpighiales; Euphorbiaceae. The record is from RNAcentral.